GAUGAACGCUGGCGGCGUGCCUAAUACAUGCAAGUCGAGCGAACGGACGAGAAGCUUGCUUCUCUGAUGUUAGCGGCGGACGGGUGAGUAACACGUGGAUAACCUACCUAUAAGACUGGGAUAACUUCGGGAAACCGGAGCUAAUACCGGAUAAUAUUUUGAACCGCAUGGUUCAAAAGUGAAAGACGGUCUUGCUGUCACUUAUAGAUGGAUCCGCGCUGCAUUAGCUAGUUGGUAAGGUAACGGCUUACCAAGGCAACGAUGCAUAGCCGACCUGAGAGGGUGAUCGGCCACACUGGAACUGAGACACGGUCCAGACUCCUACGGGAGGCAGCAGUAGGGAAUCUUCCGCAAUGGGCGAAAGCCUGACGGAGCAACGCCGCGUAAGUGAUGAAGGUCUUCGGAUCGUAAAACUCUGUUAUUAGGGAAGAACAUAUGUGUAAGUAACUGUGCACAUCUUGACGGUACCUAAUCAGAAAGCCACGGCUAACUACGUG
RNAcentral lists this ribosomal RNA (497 nucleotides) under uncultured bacterium. RNAcentral describes it as "partial 16S ribosomal RNA". It matches the Rfam family "Bacterial small subunit ribosomal RNA", at positions 28 to 507 of the family's 1533-position model. The record is from RNAcentral.